UUAAAGUGUGACUCGUUACUGACGUCGGCCGAUUUGCGAGAUAGUUUGGGGCGCGUUAUUUUAGCUACGCCUGGCGGGCCCCGGCGCCGGCCGCCCGGAAUGCGGCCUCCGCCCCGCCGCGCGUUGCCGGCGCCGAGAGCACCGCGCGUAGCGUAAUAAAUAAAGGCGGGGCACCGCUGCGUGCGCGCGCACCCUCCCGCGCCCUCCUCGCCCUCGGGUCAUUGACUCGGGCUCGGCCACCGCCGCUACAACCGUAGCAGUCGACGCUGCUGAAGACAACAAUUCUAAAAAGCGGGUAACAUCCGCACAUAUGCCAGUUACUGUGAGGGAUAUGGUAGAAAACGGAAAUGAAGAAACUGUCAGAUGGAAAAUGCGCGAGCGGAUACACGCAUCAUUUAUAAUGAAGGUAAAUAAUACCGCAAGGAAGGACAAGUGAACUAAUUAGGCGUUGUAAUUAACUGCGGACCUGAUUGGUUUUGUAAAAUAACAUCAGGCUUGAUCCAUCCCUCGUCCGAUGUAACCGACUUAUGAAAAUUAAAGAGAACAAAGAAAAUAAAUAUUUUUUCCAGCAUCCUGUACGGCGUGAGGCGCUGCCAUUUACCAUCGUCGCAAAUGGCGUCAUCUUGAUCCAUCAAUGCUAGCCAGAAGAUAAUUGAUAAUCAGAUUCCAAAUUAAAGCACAGAACGAGACUGCCAAUUUGAUCAGAGGAGAAUUUAA
Nymphalis io (European peacock) is the source of this 717-nucleotide long non-coding RNA. RefSeq lists it as uncharacterized. NCBI's taxonomy places the organism in Eukaryota, Metazoa, Arthropoda, Insecta, Lepidoptera, Nymphalidae. The transcript has 6 exons. The record is from RefSeq and is a predicted model, not a curated record.